AUACGGAGGGUGCAAGCGUUGUUCGGAAUCACUGGGCGUAAAGGGCGCGCAGGCGGUCCUGCAAGUCAGAUGUGAAAGCCCACGGCUCAACCGUGGAAGUGCAUUUGAAACUGCAGGACUUGAGUAUCAGAGGGGAAAGUGGAAUUCCCGGUGUAGAGGUGAAAUUCGUAGAUAUCGGGAGGAAUACCGGUGGCGAAGGCGACUUUCUGGCUGAAUACUGACGCUGAGGCGCGAAAGCGUGGGGAGCAAACAGGAUUAGAUACCCCGGUAGUCC
RNAcentral lists this ribosomal RNA (274 nucleotides) under uncultured bacterium. Its description in RNAcentral is "partial 16S ribosomal RNA". It matches the Rfam family "Bacterial small subunit ribosomal RNA", at positions 523 to 796 of the family's 1533-position model. The record is from RNAcentral.